Small nuclear RNA from Dermacentor albipictus, 184 nucleotides. RefSeq annotates it as U2 spliceosomal RNA. NCBI's taxonomy places the organism in Eukaryota, Metazoa, Arthropoda, Arachnida, Ixodida, Ixodidae. The record is from RefSeq and is a predicted model, not a curated record.
ACACAUGGCCAAUGUGGGUCAAAGUCUAGUAUCUGUUCUCAUCAGCUUAAUAUCUGAUAUGGGUUCUAUUUGGACCCAAGAUAUUAAACUUAUUUUUGCAAGUUGGUGGAGGGAUUGAAGCCUGCUUUACCUCCACGACUGGUUGGCCCGGUAUUGCACUAUCUCCGGGAUUGGCUUAUGGUUU